CUAUUGUCUUCUAAUAUAUUCGAAGGGUUUUUGAACCUGUGCAGAGCUCCUCUGCUGGAUAGAUAAGAGAAUUGGGGUACUUGGUUUCGCCCAUUCUCUUAAGAGUUGAGAAGGCAAUGGUUACUUGACUUCGCCCGCCUCCUCAAGGGUUGUACUUCAUGCAUUGAGCUGGUUACUAGCCUUCGCCUGCUCUUUGCUUACACUUCUGAAGCACUCGAAGUGUUUGCACUCCUUGCAUUGAGUUAGCUACUGUGAUUCACCUUCU
RNAcentral lists this long non-coding RNA (265 nucleotides) under Musa acuminata (dwarf banana). RNAcentral's name for it is "long non-coding RNA (MACU_LNC009987)". The record is from RNAcentral. Lineage: Eukaryota; Viridiplantae; Streptophyta; Magnoliopsida; Zingiberales; Musaceae.